UACGUAGGGUGCAAGCGUUAAUCGGAAUUACUGGGCGUAAAGGGCGCGUAGGCGGCCGCCUAAGUCAGAUGUGAAAGCCCCGGGCUCAACCUGGGAAUUGCAUUUGAGACUGCGUAGCUAGGGUGCGGAAGAGGGAAGCGGAAUUUCCGGUGUAGCGGUGAAAUGCGUAGAUAUCGGAAGGAACACCAGUGGCGAAAGCGGCUUCCUGGUCCAGCACCGACGUUCAGGCACGAAAGCGUGGGGAGCAAACAGG
Molecule: ribosomal RNA, 253 nt
Filed under: uncultured bacterium
Lineage: Bacteria
Description: partial 16S ribosomal RNA
Rfam family: Bacterial small subunit ribosomal RNA
Source: RNAcentral